CGCCUGAGGAUGGCUGCGUCCGAUAGUCGUGUGGGGUAUGCCCACAGCUGCGAUCGGUACGGGCAGUGAAGCUGAAGCCCGAGUUGGGGACUGAGACAAGGCCCCAGGCCCUACGGGCGCAGCAGGCGCGAAACCUCUGCAAUGCGGGAAACCGUGACAGGGGGAUCCCAAGUGCUCAUGCAUUGCAUGGGCUGUUCUUUGGUCUAAGUAACCAGAGGAGUAAGGGCUGGGCAAGACCGGUGCCAGCCGCCGCGGUAAUACCGGCAGCUCAAGUGGUAGCCGCGAUUAUUGGGCCUAAAACGUUCGUAGCCGGAUAAGUAAGUCUUUGGUUAAAUCCUGCGACUCAACCGUGGGAAUUCUAGAGAUACUGCUCGUCUUGAGACCGGGAGAGGUUGGAGGUACUCCUAGGGUAGGGGUGAAAUCCUGUAAUCCUAGGGGGACCACCUGUGGMGAAGRCGUCCAACUGGAACGGGUCUGACGGUGAGGGACGAAACCUAGGGGAGCGAGCCGGAUUAGAUACCCGGGUAGUCCUAGGCGUAAAUGAUGCGAGUUAAGUGUGGGGGCAUCUACGAGAUGGCCCUGUGCUGUAGGGUAGCCGUUAAACUCGCUGCCUGGGGAGUACGGUCGCAAGGCUGAAACUUAAAGGAAUUGGCGGGGGAG
This 660-nucleotide ribosomal RNA is filed under the name uncultured euryarchaeote. RNAcentral describes it as "bacterial SSU rRNA". It matches the Rfam family "Archaeal small subunit ribosomal RNA", at positions 200 to 876 of the family's 1478-position model. Lineage: Archaea; Methanobacteriati; Methanobacteriota. The record is from RNAcentral.